UAUCUUUCUAAUAUAUACAUAAUAGUUAGUAUAAUUAACUUCCACUUAAUUCGACCUUAAAGGGAAAGAUAA
Molecule: transfer RNA, 72 nt
Filed under: Linognathus vituli
Lineage: Eukaryota; Metazoa; Arthropoda; Insecta; Psocodea; Linognathidae
Description: tRNA-Gly
Source: RNAcentral